Molecule: RNA transcript, 921 nt
Organism: Salvia splendens (bonfire salvia)
Lineage: Eukaryota; Viridiplantae; Streptophyta; Magnoliopsida; Lamiales; Lamiaceae
Gene name: protein ORANGE, chloroplastic
Exons: 4
Source: RefSeq, a predicted model, not a curated record
UUUGAUCGAAAAACCGUAACUUGUUUUGGGAAUGUUGUUUUAUGUAUGUCGGGUCGGAUCUGCACCGGUUCCGGGUCGGAGGGUACACGCGUGUAUAAAUAUAAUCAUAGUAGGAAAUACUAAUAUCAUUGUUUCAUUAUUUUUGGCCGCCGCUCUGUCUCUUUCCCAAAUUCAAGUUUAGUACUCUCUCUCUCCCAAAUUCAGGUCCUCUCUCUACCAGUUUCAAGCUCUCUCUCUUGCCCGCCUGCUCGCCCAAGUUUACAGAUUCAUUGUUAUUUGAAAUGCCAAACGGCGUUUCCCACUCCCUGCGUAUGGUAGCUUCAGUUGCUGCUUCGCUUCUUGGUGGAGUUUUCGCUGUUGGUUUUCUGUCCUCUUCAGUCUCCGAACGCUACACUUCAUUUAAGAAGGUUGCUUUUGCAGAAAAAAUAUGGGCGGCCGUGUCGGAGCUGUAAAGCAGUUGGCUACUACGCGUGUAAGACGUGUAAAGGGCGUGGCACUAUAAAUUGGUCUCCACUCUAUGAUCCAAUCUUCAUAAACCCUUGUGUCUGUCCAACCUGUGAUGGAUUCAAGGUCCAACGCUGUCUUAACUGCUUGGGAUACGGCUCUGCAUAAGUUUUCAAUAUCAUGGUGCUAGUAAGAUUGGAUCUUCUCAAUCUUGUUGAAAUCGGAAUUGUCUGUUUUUGCUAAUCAGAAGUCACACUUACACACACCUCGAGUUAGGAAUUCGUCAUGUUUACCUUCGAAAUGUUUAUAAAAUGGAGUAGAUGCUUAGGUAAAUGUUCACCUAGAACCAUGAAACAUGGAUGUUGUAAUCAUAUCAAUAACCUUAGAUAGCUAGUGAAUUUUUGCAUAUGUUGUUAAAGAUGAACCAUUGUGGUUUUGCUGUGAUUUUUGGUUAUGAAUAUGUUACAUUGAUAGAAA